AGUUUAUGAACUUGAAUAAGUAUAUAUUUUGAAAAUAUAAUAAAGAAGAAAAAUCUUCUAUAAACUU
This 67-nucleotide transfer RNA is filed under the name Sambus kanssuensis. RNAcentral's name for it is "tRNA-Ser". The record is from RNAcentral. Lineage: Eukaryota; Metazoa; Arthropoda; Insecta; Coleoptera; Buprestidae.